UGGGGAAUAUUGGACAAUGGGCGAAAGCCUGAUCCAGCAAUGCCGCGUGAGUGAUGAAGGCCCUAGGGUUGUAAAGCUCUUUUACCAGGGAUGAUAAUGACAGUACCUGGAGAAUAAGCUCCGGCUAACUCCGUGCCAGCAGCCGCGGUAAUACGGAGGGAGCUAGCGUUGUUCGGAAUUACUGGGCGUAAAGCGUACGUAGGCGGUUAUUCAAGUCAGAGGUGAAAGCCCGGGGCUCAACCCCGGAACGGCCUUUGAAACUAGGUAGCUAGAAUCUUGGAGAGGUCAGUGGAAUUCCGAGUGUAGAGGUGAAAUUCGUAGAUAUUCGGAAGAACACCAGUGGCGAAGGCGACUGACUGGACAAGUAUUGACGCUGAGGUACGAAAGCGUGGGGAGCAAACAGGAUUAGAUACCCUUGUAGUCCCUGAG
This 429-nucleotide ribosomal RNA is filed under the name uncultured bacterium. RNAcentral describes it as "bacterial SSU rRNA". It matches the Rfam family "Bacterial small subunit ribosomal RNA", at positions 355 to 801 of the family's 1533-position model. The record is from RNAcentral.